RNAcentral lists this long non-coding RNA (2080 nucleotides) under Mus musculus (house mouse). Its description in RNAcentral is "long non-coding RNA chr5:106097158-106099238". Lineage: Eukaryota; Metazoa; Chordata; Mammalia; Rodentia; Muridae. The record is from RNAcentral.
AAUGACUUAAAAUGUAGCUUAAUAAAUAUGAAUUAUUAUUUUCCAAAUGUGAAAUACCUCUGGGAGCAGAGUUACUGGAACAACAUCCAGGCAGGAGUCAGUGCUCAGUUCAGGGAAGGAAACAUCCUGUACCAAUAAAAAGCCUUUCAAGUGGGAAGGGCUGUGCACAGCAAGGUCUCCAUAGCAGAUGUCACGUGCUUCACCUGUGCUCAUCUGAGUCUGCCGAUGCUUCCAUGAAAACACCAGUUUUAGCAUCCUACACAUGAAGCCUUUGAAUCUAAGAGAAAUUACAAGCUUGCCUAAGGCCACCCAGCUGUUUUUAAAUGGCAGACAUGACAACCGAUAGUGGAUGACCUCAUGUUUUGUCAGAAACUGGAAAGUCACAGUGCUGAGCUUGAAAUAAUUUCAAGACAAAAAUACUUUAUUUAAAAAGUCUCUGUGGCUUUUGCAGAAAUAAACACUUGCGGGGGGAAAGGGGGUGGAGUGUCUCCAUUGGUCUAUGAGAGCAAGUGAGGCUUGCAACACUGGCUGGAUAUCGUGGGUAGAGGAACGGGAGGCAAUGGUGUGCAGCUUUAGUAGGCACAGAGUGACGACCUGUGAGGCAGGAGCCACUGUUACACCACACUGACCUGUGAGGCAGGAGCCACUGUUGCACACUGACCUGUGAGACAGGAGGCACUGUUGCACACUGACCUGUGAGACAGGAGGCACUGUUGCACACUGACCUGUGAGGCAGGAGCCACUGUUGCACACUGAUCUGUGAGGCAGGAGCCACUGUUGCACACUGACCUGUGAGACAGGAGGCACUGUUGCACAUUGAUCUGUGAGGCAGGAGCCACUGUUGCACAUUGAUCUGUGAGGCAGGAGCCACUGUUGCACACUGACCUGUGAGACAGGAGCUACUGUUAUACCACUCUGACCUGUGAGACAGGAGACAUUGUUGCACACUGACCUGUAAGGUAGGGGCCAUGGUGUGAGGCACAAAUGCUGUUUCCCUAGCCAUGUUCUUGGGAAAUUUGUCAGUCUGUGUGUGUAAAAUGCUGGCAUGAUAAUUCAUCAGUUUCCAAGUAGGACAGACAGUGCCUUAGGGCCUUCAUUGUUUCUGAUGACGUUGGGAAGGCAACAUCAUGGCCCACACACCUCCGUGGAGGUGGGGGGGGGCGACAUCAUAUGUGGCCCCUGAUGCACAAGUUCUCAGAGUUUCCCAGCCGACAGGAGUGGUGAAGGAAAUGAUGGAGAGAAAAUGUCCAUAACCUGUCACGUGUGCACCUGUAUUCUUAAAGGUGUGAGAGAUGCAGAUUAAAACCUAGGAAACAUCACUUCAGAUUGGCAAAAAUGAAAACACUGGCCAAUGCAGGAAAGUGGGUCAGAGGGCACUGACUGCAUGCUUCGGGUGGACGUGUAAAGCAGGGGACGUAUACUGUGACGAGGAAAGUGGGAGAUAGGGAGAUGGCUCACCGUGUAAGAGGGGAUGCUUUGCAAGGGUGAGGAUCUGAGUUUGAAUCCUCAGCACCCACACAGAAAGCCAGAGGUGGCCAUGUGUGCCUGUAAUCCCAGCUUUAUGCAUAGAGACCAGAAGAUCCUGAGAGCUUGCUGGCUAGCCGGCCCAGAACCUCCAAGUCGGUGAAAGACCCUGUCUCAAGGCAGUAAGGAGGGGAAUGGUAGGGAAGGCACAGCAUGUACACACAUAGAAACCUUCAUACCAUGUGCAUAUCUCUCUCUCUCCCCCCUCUCUCUCUCUCUCUCUCUCUCUCUCUCUCUCUUUCUCUCUCUCUCUCUCUCUCUCUCUCAUCACGACAGCUGGAACAAGAGAAGGGCUACUGGGGAUCCAUCCUGGUGGGGAAGUCAAGGCAGUGAGAGAUCAAGCAGCUGGCCACAUUGCAUCCACAGGCAGGGACAAGAGAGUGAAUGGGUGCACGCUGCUGUUCCUCUCUGUCUUUCUGUUGACAGGAUCCAGGAUCCCAUCCAGGGAAUGGCGCCAACUCAACAAACUGAUUUCCAAGAUAAUUCCGACUAGGCAUGCCCAGAGACCCUUCUCCAUGUGAAUCUAGAUUCUGUCAGGUAGAUAGUUAACAGUACC